RNAcentral lists this ribosomal RNA (767 nucleotides) under uncultured bacterium. Its description in RNAcentral is "bacterial SSU rRNA". It matches the Rfam family "Bacterial small subunit ribosomal RNA", at positions 1 to 773 of the family's 1533-position model. The record is from RNAcentral.
UCGCGCGAUCCCCUUGAGUUUGAUCAUGGCUCAGAAUGAACGUUGGCGACGUGGAUUAGGCAUGCAAGUCGGACGGGGCCUUCGGGUCCCCGUGGCGCAAGGGUGAGUAAGGCGACGAUAACCCACCCCGGGGCUGGCCAUAGCCGAGGGAAACCUCGGGUAAUUGCCAGCGACGCCGCGGGCCGGCAUCGGCCCGCGGCCAAAGGUGCGAUUCCGCCCCGGGACGGGCCGUCGUGGUAUCAGGUCGUUGGCGGGGUAGCGGCCCACCAAGCCAUUGACGCCUACCGGGCGUGCGAGCGUGGCCCGGCACACUGGGACUGAGACACUGCCCAGACUCCUACGGGAGGCUGCAGUCGAGAAUCUUCGGCAAUGGGCGCAAGCCCGACCGAGCGACGUCGCGUGGAGGACGAAGGCCUUCGGGUUGUAAACUCCUGUCGGGGGGGAACAAGGGCCGGCGCAGAGCCGGCCUUGAGUGAUCCCCGGAGGAAGCACGGGCUAAGUUCGUGCCAGCAGCCGCGGUAAGACGAACCGUGCGAACGUUAUUCGGAUUCACUGGGCUUAAAGCGCGUGUAGGCGGGCCGGUGCGUCGGUCGCUGAAAGCCCCCGGCUCAACCGGGGAAGCGGCGCCGAGACGACCGGCCUGGAGGGGGGUAGGGGGACCUGGAACUUCCGGUGGAACGGUGAAAUGCNUUGAGAUCUAAAGGACGCCCGUGGCGAAACGAGGUCCUGGACCCUUCUGACGCUGAACGCUAAGCCAGGGAGCGACU